Non-coding RNA from Acanthosepion pharaonis, 103 nucleotides. The record is from the annotation of a GenBank genome assembly. Lineage: Eukaryota; Metazoa; Mollusca; Cephalopoda; Sepiida; Sepiidae.
ACAACCACAUCACGUUGAAAGACCAGUUCCCUUAUGAUCACUGAAGUUAAGUAACAUUGAGCCUGGUCAGUACCAAGAUGGGUGACUGUGAAUACCGGGUGCU